GCGGGUAUGGCGGAAUGGCAGACGCGCCAGAUUUAGGUUCUGGUGUCUUUGGCGUGCAGGUUCAAGUCCUGUUACCCGCACCA
RNAcentral lists this transfer RNA (83 nucleotides) under Agathobaculum sp. Its description in RNAcentral is "tRNA-Leu". It matches the Rfam family "tRNA". From Rfam's summary of the family: Transfer RNA (tRNA) molecules are approximately 80 nucleotides in length. Lineage: Bacteria; Bacillati; Bacillota; Clostridia; Eubacteriales; Butyricicoccaceae. The record is from RNAcentral. RNAcentral also lists the same sequence under 3 other names.